UGAAGAGAGGAGCUUGCUCUUCUUGGCAUGAGUUGCGAACGGGUGAGUAACGCGUAGGUAACCUGCCUUGUAGCGGGGGAUAACUAUUGGAAACGAUAGCUAAUACCGCAUAACAAUGGAUGACUCAUGUCAUUUAUUCGAAAGGGGCAAAUGCUCCACUACAAGAUGGACCUGCGUUGUAUUAGCUAGUAGGUGAGGUAACGGCUCACCUAGGCGACGAUACAUAGCCGACCUGAGAGGGUGAUCGGCCACACUGGGACUGAGACACGGCCCAGACUCCUACGGGAGGCAGCAGUAGGGAAUCUUCGGCAAUGGGGGCAACCCUGACCGAGCAACGCCGCGUGAGUGAAGAAGGUUUUCGGAUCGUAAAGCUCUGUUGUAAGUCAAGAACGAGUGUGAGAGUGGAAAGUUCACACUGUGACGGUAGCUUACCAGAAAGGGACUGCUAACUACGUGCCAGCAGCCGCGGUAAUACGUAGGUCCCGAGCGUUGUCCGGAUUUAUUGGGCGUAAAGCGAGCGCAGGCGGUUUGAUAAGUCUGAAGUUAAAGG
This 550-nucleotide ribosomal RNA is filed under the name uncultured Bacilli bacterium. RNAcentral's name for it is "bacterial SSU rRNA". It matches the Rfam family "Bacterial small subunit ribosomal RNA", at positions 67 to 601 of the family's 1533-position model. The record is from RNAcentral. Lineage: Bacteria; Bacillati; Bacillota; Bacilli.